RNAcentral lists this ribosomal RNA (292 nucleotides) under uncultured bacterium. RNAcentral's name for it is "partial 16S ribosomal RNA". It matches the Rfam family "Bacterial small subunit ribosomal RNA", at positions 505 to 796 of the family's 1533-position model. The record is from RNAcentral.
GUGUCAGCCGCCGCGGUAAUACGGAGGAUCCGAGCGUUAUCCGGAUUUAUUGGGUUUAAAGGGUGCGUAGGCGGGAGAUUAAGUCAGUGGUGAAAGUUUGCGGCUCAACCGUAAAAUUGCCAUUGAUACUGGUUUUCUUGAGUACAGUUGAGGUAGGCGGAAUGUGGUGUGUAGCGGUGAAAUGCAUAGAUAUACCACAGAACACCGAUUGCGAAGGCAGCUUACUAAAGUGUAACUGACGCUGAGGCACGAAAGCGUGGGGAUCAAACAGGAUUAGAUACCCCUGUAGUCC